GGGAGAGUAGCUUAGUCUGGUCGGAGCACGCGACUGAUAAUCGCGGGGUCGGAGGUUCAAAUCCUCCCUUUCCCA
Molecule: transfer RNA, 75 nt
Filed under: Candidatus Iainarchaeum sp.
Lineage: Archaea; Nanobdellati; Candidatus Iainarchaeota; Candidatus Iainarchaeia; Candidatus Iainarchaeales; Candidatus Iainarchaeaceae
Description: tRNA-Ile
Rfam family: tRNA
About the family: Transfer RNA (tRNA) molecules are approximately 80 nucleotides in length. Their secondary structure includes four short double-helical elements and three loops (D, anti-codon, and T loops). Further hydrogen bonds mediate the characteristic L-shaped molecular structure. tRNAs have two regions of fundamental functional importance: the anti-codon, which is responsible for specific mRNA codon recognition, and the 3' end, to which the tRNAs corresponding amino acid is attached (by aminoacyl-tRNA synthetases). tRNAs cope with the degeneracy of the genetic code in two manners: having more than one tRNA (with a specific anti-codon) for a particular amino acid; and 'wobble' base-pairing, i.e. permitting non-standard base-pairing at the 3rd anti-codon position.
Source: RNAcentral